CAGGUACUACACUGGAUAUCCCAAGGACCUAGGGCCAUCAAGAAUUAUACCAUUUACAUCUGAGCGUCAGUUUGUGCAGCUAUUGCAUGAAGGAAGGCCUGUAGUUGUUGCCUUUACUAUUAAGUGCACUUAUACACAGCAUCUUGAUAAAGUACUGGAAGAGGCUGCUGCCAAAUUUUAUCCACAUAUCAAGUUUGUCAGAGUCGAGUGCCCAAAGUAUCCAGGGUUUUGCCUCACAAGGCAAAGGAAUGAAUAUCCAUUUGUUGAAGUAUUUUACAAUCCAGAACAGGCUGCAAGCCAAAGGA
Panicum virgatum (switchgrass) is the source of this 305-nucleotide long non-coding RNA. RefSeq lists it as uncharacterized. The record is from RefSeq and is a predicted model, not a curated record. The transcript has 5 exons. NCBI's taxonomy places the organism in Eukaryota, Viridiplantae, Streptophyta, Magnoliopsida, Poales, Poaceae.